This 62-nucleotide transfer RNA is filed under the name Termitogeton planus. RNAcentral's name for it is "tRNA-His". The record is from RNAcentral. Lineage: Eukaryota; Metazoa; Arthropoda; Insecta; Blattodea; Rhinotermitidae.
AUCUAAAUAGUUUAAUUAAAAUGUUGGUUUGUGGUGCCGGUGAUAUAGGUUUAUUUUAGAUU